RNAcentral lists this ribosomal RNA (464 nucleotides) under uncultured bacterium. RNAcentral describes it as "partial 16S ribosomal RNA". It matches the Rfam family "Bacterial small subunit ribosomal RNA", at positions 28 to 507 of the family's 1533-position model. The record is from RNAcentral.
GACGAACGCUGGCGGCGUGCUUAACACAUGCAAGUCGAACGGAAAGGCCCUGCUUGCCGGGUACUCGAGUGGCGAACGGGUGAGUAACACGUGGGUGAUCUGCCCUGCACUUCGGGAUAAGCCUGGGAAACUGGGUCUAAUACCGGAUAGGAGCCAUUUUUAGCGUGAUGGUUGGAAAGUUUUUUCGGUGUAGGAUGAGCUCGCGGCCUAUCAGCUUGUUGGUGGGGUAAUGGCCUACCAAGGCGGCGACGGGUAGCCGGCCUGAGAGGGUGGACGGCCACAUUGGGACUGAGAUACGGCCCAGACUCCUACGGGAGGCAGCAGUGGGGAAUAUUGCACAAUGGGCGCAAGCCUGAUGCAGCGACGCCGCGUGGGGGAUGACGGCCUUCGGGUUGUAAACUCCUUUCGCUAGGGACGAAGCUUUUGUGACGGUACCUAGAUAAGAAGCACCGGCUAACUACGUG